GAACGGGUGAGUAAUGCAUCGGAACGUACUCUGGAGUGGGGGAUAACUAUCCGAAAGGAUAGCUAAUACCGCAUAUUCUAUGAGUAGGAAAGCGGGGGAUCUUCGGACCUCGCGCUCUGGGAGCGGCCGAUGUCAGAUUAGCUAGUUGGUGGGGUAAAGGCCUACCAAGGCUACGAUCUGUAGCGGGUCUGAGAGGAUGAUCCGCCACACUGGGACUGAGACACGGCCCAGACUCCUACGGGAGGCAGCAGUGGGGAAUUUUGGACAAUGGGGGCAACCCUGAUCCAGCCAUGCCGCGUGAGUGAAGAAGGCCUUCGGGUUGUAAAGCUCUUUCGGCCGGGAAGAAAUCGCCAUCUCUAAUAUAGGUGGUGGAUGACGGUACCGGAAUAAGAAGCACCGGCUAACUACGUGCCAGCAGCCGCGGUAAUACGUAGGGUGCGAGCGUUAAUCGGAAUUACUGGGCGUAAAGCGUGCGCAGGCGGUUUUUUAAGAUAGGCGUGAAAUCCCCGGGCUUAACCUGGGAACUGCGCUUAUGACUGGAAGACUAGAGUACGGCAGAGGGGGGUGGAAUUCCACGUGUAGCAGUGAAAUGCGUAGAGAUGUGGAGGAACACCGAUGGCGAAGGCAGCCCCCUAGGCCGAUACUGACGCUCAUGCA
This 657-nucleotide ribosomal RNA is filed under the name uncultured bacterium. RNAcentral describes it as "bacterial SSU rRNA". It matches the Rfam family "Bacterial small subunit ribosomal RNA", at positions 100 to 753 of the family's 1533-position model. The record is from RNAcentral.